AACGCUAGCUACAGGCUUAACACAUGCAAGUCGAGGGGCAGCAUUGGAGUAGCAAUACUUCAGAUGGCGACCGGCGCACGGGUGAGUAACACGUAUCCAACCUGCCGCUUACUCGGAGAUAGCCUUUCGAAAGAAAGAUUAAUACCCGAUGGUAUAAAGAGUUCGCAUGUUCUCUUUAUUAAAGAAUUUCGGUAAGCGAUGGGGAUGCGUUCCAUUAGAUAGUUGGCGGGGUAACGGCCCACCAAGUCUACGAUGGAUAGGGGUUCUGAGAGGAAGGUCCCCCACAUUGGAACUGAGACACGGUCCAAACUCCUACGGGAGGCAGCAGUGAGGAAUAUUGGUCAAUGGACGAGAGUCUGAACCAGCCAAGUAGCGUGAAGGAUGACUGCCCUAUGGGUUGUAAACUUCUUUUAUAAGGGAAUAAAGUGAGGGACGUGUCCCUUUUUGUAUGUACCUUAUGAAUAAGGAUCGGCUAACUCCGUGCCAGCAGCCGCGGUAAUACGGAGGAUCCAAGCGUUAUCCGGAUUUAUUGGGUUUAAAGGGAGCGUAGGUUGACAUAUAAGUCAGCUGUGAAAGUUUACGGCUCAACCGUGAAAUUGCAGUUGAUACUGUAUGUCUUGAGUGUACAAGAGGUGGGCGGAAUUCGUGGUGUAGCGGUGAAAUGCUUAGAUAUCACGAAGAACUCCGAUUG
RNAcentral lists this ribosomal RNA (691 nucleotides) under uncultured Bacteroidales bacterium. Its description in RNAcentral is "bacterial SSU rRNA". It matches the Rfam family "Bacterial small subunit ribosomal RNA", at positions 32 to 715 of the family's 1533-position model. The record is from RNAcentral. Lineage: Bacteria; Pseudomonadati; Bacteroidota; Bacteroidia; Bacteroidales.